GUACAAAUACCCUUGCUAAAUAUUACUCAACUAAAAUACCUGCUUUUAAAAAAUACUUAAGUAUCAAAAGUAAAAAGUACUAUUAUUUAGUAUGGUUAUGUUUGUCAGGGGUUGCUGACAUGACAAACAAUUUUAAAAUACAGUAGGCAAACUAAAUUGUUCACCUCCUAACAUACUGUAUGUAAGAGUGAAAACUAUGGUAUAAAUACAAAUUCACAGUUUAUUUU
This is a long non-coding RNA of Anguilla rostrata (American eel), 227 nucleotides long. RefSeq lists it as uncharacterized. Lineage: Eukaryota; Metazoa; Chordata; Actinopteri; Anguilliformes; Anguillidae. The transcript has 2 exons. The record is from RefSeq and is a predicted model, not a curated record.